GGUGCUAUAGUGUAGUGGUCAUCACUCAGGAUUUUGAAGUUAGAGCGCCAGUGCAGACCGUCGUUUACUUGAAUUUUCCUGGAACCCAGGUUCGAACCCUGGUAGCACCU
This 110-nucleotide transfer RNA is filed under the name Galerina marginata CBS 339.88. It matches the Rfam family "tRNA". Rfam says of the family: Transfer RNA (tRNA) molecules are approximately 80 nucleotides in length. Their secondary structure includes four short double-helical elements and three loops (D, anti-codon, and T loops). Further hydrogen bonds mediate the characteristic L-shaped molecular structure. tRNAs have two regions of fundamental functional importance: the anti-codon, which is responsible for specific mRNA codon recognition, and the 3' end, to which the tRNAs corresponding amino acid is attached (by aminoacyl-tRNA synthetases). tRNAs cope with the degeneracy of the genetic code in two manners: having more than one tRNA (with a specific anti-codon) for a particular amino acid; and 'wobble' base-pairing, i.e. permitting non-standard base-pairing at the 3rd anti-codon position. The record is from Rfam by way of RNAcentral. Lineage: Eukaryota; Fungi; Basidiomycota; Agaricomycetes; Agaricales; Galerinaceae.